GUUCCAUUCCUCCAUUGAAAAAAAAUACUGAAAUCACUGCUCGUCUUUAUCCUACAACCCUGAAAUCCUAGCUCGCACUCGCUUCGUCUCUCUUUCACUGCUACAUAUAGGUCUGUUUCCAUCUGAAAUCCUAGCUCGCACUCGCUUCGUCACUCUUUCACUGCUACAAAUAGUUUGGCUGGAGACAUGGUGCUGAACUGUAGAUGGUUUGAUAUUUUGACACCCGAGGAGGUUGAAAACAAUGUCAAUAGCGACAACAGUUCUUCAAGUUUUUGGUUUUUUUGAUGCGAUUUAGUUAGUAGUCAAUGUCAUUUUCUUUCAAUGCCAAUGGCGACAACAGGUCUUGGAGUGUUUUCAAGUAUAA
This is a long non-coding RNA of Solanum dulcamara, 364 nucleotides long. RefSeq lists it as uncharacterized. NCBI's taxonomy places the organism in Eukaryota, Viridiplantae, Streptophyta, Magnoliopsida, Solanales, Solanaceae. The record is from RefSeq and is a predicted model, not a curated record. The transcript has 2 exons.